CUUUAAAGGAACAAUGAACAUCAAAGGCAGUGUUAUAGUCUUAUUCCUCUGUUUCCUGACUCUAUUUUCCUUAACAGACUGUACCAAAUGUACCAAUGUAUUAGAAGGGGGCACUCUCACAUUUAUACUGGCUGAUAAUAAUAAUCCACUUGGGGAUAAUGAUCGAUUCAUUUUAAAAAAAGAUAAUACAAUUAAAGUCCCCAAAAGGAAGCGGAAUGAAAAGGGACCAGGGAUUGUGGAAGGUAAUUCCCUGAAGUUCAAGCAUGUGGAAAUGAGUGAUACUGGAACAUACAUCGUUGAGGUUUUUGAUGAUAAGGGCACCAACAAAAAAUCAUACUCGGAAAGCGUAUGUGUAUAUGCAAAAGUCCCGAAGCCAAGAGUGAAUAUUACAUGCCUGGAAAAAAAUGUUGACAUCAGAUGUGAGGUCGAAAUCAACAACGAUCUAAGAUCAGAAAUAUCUUACAGCUGGCACAAAAAUGGGAAAGAAUUAAUGAAAGAAUUCAACUUCUUUGUCCCUGAUGAGCAAGCCGUGGCGACUGUGGCAAGG
Molecule: long non-coding RNA, 547 nt
Organism: Silurus meridionalis
Lineage: Eukaryota; Metazoa; Chordata; Actinopteri; Siluriformes; Siluridae
Exons: 3
Source: RefSeq, a predicted model, not a curated record